AAUAGCUCAAGUGGUUGAGCACCUGCCUAAGAAGUAUGAGGCCUUGAGUUCAAACCUCAGUU
RNAcentral lists this transfer RNA (62 nucleotides) under Dipodomys ordii (Ord's kangaroo rat). It matches the Rfam family "tRNA", at positions 6 to 65 of the family's 71-position model. Rfam says of the family: Transfer RNA (tRNA) molecules are approximately 80 nucleotides in length. Their secondary structure includes four short double-helical elements and three loops (D, anti-codon, and T loops). Lineage: Eukaryota; Metazoa; Chordata; Mammalia; Rodentia; Heteromyidae. The record is from Rfam by way of RNAcentral.